UCGUAGUCCGGAUCGCAGUCUGCAACUCGACUGCGUGAAGUCGGAAUCGCUAGUAAUCGCGAAUCAGAAUGUCGCGGUGAAUACGUUCCCGGGCCUUGUACACACCGCCCGUCACACCAUGGGAGUGGGUUGCACCAGAAGUAGCUAGUCUAACCUUCGGGAGGACGGUUACCACGGUGUGAUUCAUGACUGGGGUGAAGUCGUAACAAGGUAGCCGUAGGGGAACCUGCGGCUGGAUCACCUCCUUA
RNAcentral lists this ribosomal RNA (248 nucleotides) under Pseudomonas asiatica. RNAcentral describes it as "partial 16S ribosomal RNA". It matches the Rfam family "Bacterial small subunit ribosomal RNA", at positions 1286 to 1533 of the family's 1533-position model. The record is from RNAcentral. Lineage: Bacteria; Pseudomonadati; Pseudomonadota; Gammaproteobacteria; Pseudomonadales; Pseudomonadaceae.